RNAcentral lists this ribosomal RNA (446 nucleotides) under uncultured bacterium. RNAcentral's name for it is "bacterial SSU rRNA". It matches the Rfam family "Bacterial small subunit ribosomal RNA", at positions 355 to 825 of the family's 1533-position model. The record is from RNAcentral.
UCGGGAAUUUUGGGCAAUGGGCGAAAGCCUGACCCAGCAACGCCGCGUGAAGGAUGAAGUAUUUCGGUAUGUAAACUUCGAAAGAAUAGGAAGAAUAAAUGACGGUACUAUUUAUAAGGUCCGGCUAACUACGUGCCAGCAGCCGCGGUAAUACGUAGGGACCAAGCGUUGUUCGGAUUUACUGGGCGUAAAGGGCGCGUAGGCGGCAAUUCAAGUCAUCUGUGAAAUCUCCGGGCUUAACUCGGAACGGUCAGAUGAUACUGCUUUGCUAGAGUGCAGAAGGGGCAAUCGGAAUUCUUGGUGUAGCGGUGAAAUGCGUAGAUAUCAAGAGGAACACCUGAGGUGAAGACGGGUUGCUGGGCUGACACUGACGCUGAGGCGCGAAAGCCAGGGGAGCAAACGGGAUUAGAUACCCAGGUAGUCCUGAGCGGGCUGGCAAGGCGCAU